AUGGUUGGAUGAAAAAUUUACUUUCUUUGUUUUAAAUAUAGAAUUUGAUUUUUGAGUCAAAAAGCUUAAAUAUUAUUAAAGGACGAGAAGACCCUAUAGAACUUUAUUUUAGUAUUUUUAUGUUUUAUCUUGAUAAUAAUUAUUUUUUAAUUAUCCUAAAAUUGUGUUGGGGUGACAAAAAAAAAUUAAUAACUUUUUUUACUUUUAUCAUUUUUAAUGAAUUUUUGAUCCUUUACUAAAGAUAAUAAGACUAAGUUACCUUAGGGAUAACAGCGUUAUUAUUUUAGAGAGUUCCUAUCGAUAAAAUAGUUUGCUGACCUCGAUGUUGGAUUAAAAUAAGUUUCAGGAGCAGAAAAUUGAU
This 361-nucleotide ribosomal RNA is filed under the name Solenoxyphus candidatus. Its description in RNAcentral is "partial large subunit ribosomal RNA". The record is from RNAcentral. Lineage: Eukaryota; Metazoa; Arthropoda; Insecta; Hemiptera; Miridae.